CUGCAGCCAAUUAAGCCGACUAUACUCUUUCCCCAUGGGGCCCAGUGUGUAAUGGCUGCAAACAGCAGCCUCCUCGGUAGUGUAUGCAGCCUGUUGAUUGUACGGGUUGCCCUAAGGGACAUUGGAGAUAGUU
Molecule: small nucleolar RNA, 133 nt
Gene: SNORA70
Rfam family: Small nucleolar RNA SNORA70
About the family: snoRNA U70 seems to be exclusive to mammals and is a member of the H/ACA class of snoRNA which contain H (ANANNA) and ACA box motifs. H/ACA box snoRNAs are involved in the conversion of uridines to pseudouridines (5-ribosyluracil) a constituent of structural RNAs (transfer, ribosomal, small nuclear, and small nucleolar).
Source: Ensembl